Molecule: long non-coding RNA, 267 nt
Filed under: Setaria viridis
Lineage: Eukaryota; Viridiplantae; Streptophyta; Magnoliopsida; Poales; Poaceae
Description: long non-coding RNA (SVIR_LNC001187)
Source: RNAcentral
GGAGGGAAGCAGGCUGGGAGGACGGAAAAAAAGGAAGGGGUAGCAAUGAUUAGGGAUAAUGUGGUCAUUGUCUAAGUCAUUAAAUAUUGUUUAGUCCCUACAUCUAAACAGGGGGGACUAAGACUAAAAAUAAGCAAGUGGAAACCAAACACAGCCUAAGACUAAGGGCAGUCCCAAUGGGACAUUGAUGAUAGUUUCUAUCCCUCUUAAUUGUCAUGCCAACUAAGCAAUUUGCUGAUGUGGCAGUAGAUUUAUUAUGGAGAGAGA